CGGCCGCGUGGCUGGAAGCCAUGGCUGCUGCUCGGGUCCGGGCCGGAGCUCGCGAUCCGCGUGAGGACUGUGGUGGCGGCAAGGUUGCCGAGUCCUCCCAGGCGUGACGCGGCUUGAGGCUGACGUGUAGAUGGAGCCCUGGAGUGGAGAGGGGGCCGGCGCGCCCUGGGCGCUCACCGCGGACGUCGGCCUCCCGGUUGGUUCCGGAGCCAAGUCCAAGUGUGCGCUGGAGACCUGACACCUGGGACGGAUCGGACAAGAAGCCUGCCCGGGGCCAGAGACCUGGAGGACCCGGAGCUGAGCGGGAGGAUCCCCGCGACGACCUUCCUGUGAAGAGGUGGCUGGAGGAGUGGCCUUGAGCAGGGACACUUGAGAAAGGCUGGGACGUGUGGGCCUGUGCAUUGAGACAGGAAACCGCUCUGCCCUUGAGGGAGCGCUGGAGCGCAGCGGGCCAGCAGGUGGACCGAGCAGUGCCUCUUGCCAGGUGCGGCUCCAGCCUGAGGAGGCUCUUCAGCAGCUGCGAGGAACAGCGGCGCGGCGUGGAGUGCCUCACGCGUGCGGCAGCGGCAGAGCCUGCGUCUGCUGAUGGACGAUCUCUGAGGGGGACCCAAGGGUUCUGUGGGCGCCACCUUCAAACGUAGACGAAGAACUUGAGUGACAGAUUAUUCCAGAAAACUUGGAGGAGUUAACAAGAUGAGGGUAUAGCUUAAACAGAAUUCGGGCUUUGGUCACCAGGUGUAACGUGUGUGUUGGUGGACUGGAACCAAGUGAUGUGGACACUGCUGGGCACACAGGAACCAGGUGCUUGGCCUGGAGCAUUUCUCGGUGGACUUCCUAUGCACCUGCUAUGUCUGGCUUUGCAUUCUGAAGCACAAAUAAAAAACUUUGUGGUUGGCUCACU
Molecule: long non-coding RNA, 901 nt
Organism: Lepus europaeus (European hare)
Lineage: Eukaryota; Metazoa; Chordata; Mammalia; Lagomorpha; Leporidae
Exons: 6
Source: RefSeq, a predicted model, not a curated record